CCAUCCCGAACACAGAAGUUAAGCUCCACAGAGCCGAUGGUACUUGGACCGCAGGGUCCUGGGAGAGUAGGACGUCGCUAGGC
This 83-nucleotide ribosomal RNA is filed under the name Tumebacillus sp. BK434. The record is from RNAcentral. Lineage: Bacteria; Bacillati; Bacillota; Bacilli; Caryophanales; Alicyclobacillaceae.